UACGGAGAGUGCAAGCAUUAAUCGGAAUUAUUGGGCGUAAAGGGCGCGUAGGCGGGUUAGCAAGUCAGAUGUGAAAUUCCGAAGCUCAACUUCGGAGCUGCAUUUGAAACUACUAGUCUUUGAGGGUUGACGGAGAAAACGGAAUUCCACGUGUAGCGGUGAAAUGCGUAGAUAUGUGGAAGAACACCUGUGGCGAAAGCGGUUUUCUAGUUGAUACCUGACGCUGAGGCGCGAGAGCAAGGGGAGCAAACAGG
RNAcentral lists this ribosomal RNA (254 nucleotides) under uncultured bacterium. Its description in RNAcentral is "partial 16S ribosomal RNA". It matches the Rfam family "Bacterial small subunit ribosomal RNA", at positions 524 to 776 of the family's 1533-position model. The record is from RNAcentral.